RNAcentral lists this ribosomal RNA (1358 nucleotides) under metagenome. RNAcentral's name for it is "bacterial SSU rRNA". It matches the Rfam family "Bacterial small subunit ribosomal RNA". The record is from RNAcentral.
GCUGGCGGCGUGCUUAACACAUGCAAGUCGAACGGUCCUUCGGGACAGUGGCGGACGGGUGAGUAACGCGUGGGAAUCUGCCCUUAGGAGGGGGAUAACGGUUGGAAACGACCGCUAAUACCCCAUAUGCCGAGAGGUGAAAUGAAAUUCGCCUGAGGAUGAGCCCGCGUCUGAUUAGCUAGUUGGUGGGGUAAAGGCCUACCAAGGCGACGAUCAGUAGCUGGUCUGAGAGGAUGAUCAGCCACACUGGGACUGAGACACGGCCCAGACUCCUACGGGAGGCAGCAGUGGGGAAUUUUCCGCAAUGGGCGAAAGCCUGACGGAGCAACGCCGCGUGAGGGAUGAAGGCCUCUGGGCUGUAAACCUCUUUUCUCAAGGAAGAAGAUCUGACGGUACUUGAGGAAUAAGCCACGGCUAAUUCCGUGCCAGCAGCCGCGGUAAUACGGGAGUGGCAAGCGUUAUCCGGAAUUAUUGGGCGUAAAGCGUCCGCAGGCGGCCUUGUAAGUCUGUUGUUAAAGCGUGGAGCUUAACUCCAUUUCAGCAAUGGAAACUACAAGGCCCGAGUGUGGUAGGGGCAGAGGGAAUUCCCGGUGUAGCGGUGAAAUGCGUAGAUAUCGGGAAGAACACCAGUGGCGAAGGCGCUCUGCUGGGCCAUAACUGACGCUCAUGGACGAAAGCCAGGGGAGCGAAAGGGAUUAGAUACCCCUGUAGUCCUGGCCGUAAACGAUGAACACUAGGUGUCGGGGGAAUCGACCCCCUCGGUGUCGUAGCCAACGCGUUAAGUGUUCCGCCUGGGGAGUACGCACGCAAGUGUGAAACUCAAAGGAAUUGACGGGGGCCCGCACAAGCGGUGGAGUAUGUGGUUUAAUUCGAUGCAACGCGAAGAACCUUACCAGGGUUUGACAUCCUGCGAACCCCUGAGAAAUCGGGGGGUGCCUUCGGGAACGCAGUGACAGGUGGUGCAUGGCUGUCGUCAGCUCGUGUCGUGAGAUGUUGGGUUAAGUCCCGCAACGAGCGCAACCCACGUCUUUAGUUGCCAGCAUUCAGUUGGGCACUCUAGAGAGACCGCCGGUGAUAAACCGGAGGAAGGUGUGGAUGACGUCAAGUCAUCAUGCCCCUUACAUCCUGGGCUACACACGUACUACAAUGCUACGGACAAAGGGCAGCAAGCUCGCGAGAGUUAGCAAAUCCCAUGAACCGUGGCUCAGUUCAGAUCGUAGGCUGCAACUCGCCUACGUGAGGGAGGAAUCGCUAGUAAUCGCAGGUCAGCAUACUGCGGUGAAUACGUUCCCGGGCCUUGUACACACCGCCCGUCACACCAUGGAAGUUGGCCAUGCCCGAAGUCGUUACUCCAACCC